Long non-coding RNA from Orcinus orca (killer whale), 826 nucleotides. RefSeq lists it as uncharacterized. The transcript is spliced from 3 exons. The record is from RefSeq and is a predicted model, not a curated record. NCBI's taxonomy places the organism in Eukaryota, Metazoa, Chordata, Mammalia, Artiodactyla, Delphinidae.
ACCAUCCUACACAUGUGAGAACCAAGGACCCAGUGGUUCAGGAACCUGUGGGGCAGCCACACACCAGGGAUGGAAGGCUGCCUGCCUUGGACGUGUCCUUGGACCUAUCGGAGCCGUCCUGCGCACAGGUGUUGGACAAGAGAAUGAGGGGCACCAGACUGUGAUGCAAACUCAGGACUCUGACCUUGGAGACUAAAUGGAAAAGAGAGCAUGGAUGGAAGGACAGCCACAGCCCAGGGAGACCAAUGUGCUGUGGUCCAGUGUGAAAAGCUGAUGACUCCAUGGCAGACCUGCAUCAGGGCUCUUCCAUCUUCAGCAGCAACCUCAAAACCACCUUGCCAGGGCUGUGCACAGAGGGAGUUAACCGACACCUAUGCAAAUGGCCGAGCCCACUGGGACAUGAGGCAGAGAAGCAGAGUGAUGAAAGUGCUGUCCUGAGACACAUAAUCAGGAGUUGUACCCAUUCCAAGAAAGACCACCAUUGAUGGCUUGACUCUGGGAAGGUCACAUGGACGAGUUGACAUUGGAUAUGAGCCUUGAGGGUGCAUCAGGAAUGCAUGAAAAAGAGAUUUCCGGUUCCAAAAGCCCCAUCACCCUUGAUAUUGUCAACUAAAAAAAUGCACAGACUAAAAGUUGAGUAUUAUGCAAAAGUGAGGACCUAUGCCUGGGAUGCAGCCUCUCACCUCUGAGACACUGCUGCCAAGAGGUAAGGGAGGAGACAGGAUAUAUAGGAGUUUUUGCAACAAAGACCAGGUACUUGAUUUUCUAUGUACAGGAAGAUGCAAGAGUCUGGGCUCACUGAAAUCAUUCCUUUGAUAUGCACCUU